UACAAGAAAUUUUAAAUAAGUUAAACUCAUAAAUAGUUGUAAUUAUGUUGUUUCAAUAUGAAUAGUAAUUUCGUUUUUUAAAUUAUGUAAUAUUACAUUGGGAAUAUGUUAUAUGUUACUAUAAAUAUUUGUUUAUUUCAUGAAAUAAAAAAUAAAACAUAUAAUCUGAUUACGAAAACAUUUCUUCAAAUAUUUGUUCUCUCCGAUGCCUGGUUACGUUUUUUACAUCUGACUGCAAUGGGCACCGUUGUCCUUAAAUGGAGGUACUAACCAACUCAGAGAUGGAUAUGCUGAAUCACCCAAAUACAGUGAGGACCUCCUUAACAACCGAGCAUCAUGCAGAGAUCCCGGCUCUCCACAAUACACGUCAAUAAAUUGCCUGAAGCUAUUGACAGUUCCUUGUAUUAGCAAACUAAAGUAUCCUUUUCUAUUGAUGUAUGAGUCUUGAUCAUUUUUUGGCCUCCGAAUUCUCACAUGACAUCCAUCAAUUGCUCCAAUUACAUUUUGACUGCCAAAUUUGGUGGCGAAAGCUUUAGAUAUUGUCACACUCUGGGGUUGUAGCUCGCAUUUACAAGAGGUGGUGUGACUUUCAACCAGGAUCACGGUCUCAACGAACACACAUAACGACCAUUUGUUUUAUACAUGUAUUUAGUCAAGCAAUGUAAAAAGAAGUGCCAAAGGAUAUAAAGAAAGGUACUUACAUUUCGAACAUGAUUCUCGUGUACCAAUACCACCAACUAUCUCUAGCACAUCCCUGCAUCUCCCAUUUAUACCUUCGGAUCUCAUACGUCAAUUCCUUCCUGUUAACACCCUAGAUGACUGAUGUUCCCGUUACUCACGAGGCCUUG
Photinus pyralis (common eastern firefly) is the source of this 848-nucleotide long non-coding RNA. RefSeq lists it as uncharacterized. The record is from RefSeq and is a predicted model, not a curated record. NCBI's taxonomy places the organism in Eukaryota, Metazoa, Arthropoda, Insecta, Coleoptera, Lampyridae. The transcript has 3 exons.